Molecule: ribosomal RNA, 468 nt
Filed under: uncultured bacterium
Lineage: Bacteria
Description: partial 16S ribosomal RNA
Rfam family: Bacterial small subunit ribosomal RNA
Source: RNAcentral
GACGAACGCUGGCGGCGUGCUUAACACAUGCAAGUCGAACGGCAAGGCCCUGCUUUUGUGGGGUGCUCGAGUGGCGAACGGGUGAGUAACACGUGAGUAACCUGCCCUUGACUUUGGGAUAACUUCAGGAAACUGGGGCUACUACCGUAUAGGAGCUCCUGCUGCAUGGUGGGCGUUGGAAAGUUUCGGCGGUUGGGGAUGGACUCGCGGCUUAUGAGCUUGUUGGUGGGGUAGUGGCUUACCAAGGCUUUGACGGGUAGCCGGCCUGAGAGGGUGACCGGCGACAAUGGGACUGAGGGACGGAGCAGACGGCAACGGGAGGCAGCGGUGGGGAAUAUUGCACAGUGGGAGGAAGCGUGAGGAGGAAACGCCGAGUGCGGGAUGACGGCCUUCGGGUUGUAAAACGCUGUCGCCUGUGACGAAGCGUGAGUGACGGUAAUGGGUAAAGAAGCACCGGCUAACUACGUG